This 222-nucleotide ribosomal RNA is filed under the name uncultured bacterium. Its description in RNAcentral is "partial 16S ribosomal RNA". It matches the Rfam family "Bacterial small subunit ribosomal RNA", at positions 109 to 334 of the family's 1533-position model. The record is from RNAcentral.
AGUAAUGUAUGGGGAUCUGCCCGAUAGAGGGGGGUAACUACUGGAAACGGUGGCUAAUACCGCAUAAUGUCUACGGACCAAAGCAGGGGCUCUUCGGACCUUGCACUAUCGGAUGAACCCAUAUGGGAUUAGCUAGUAGGUGGGGUAAAGGCUCACCUAGGCGACGAUCUCUAGCUGGUCUGAGAGGAUGAUCAGCCACACUGGGACUGAGACACGGCCCAG